GUCCGCAGGUCGUAAAAGGGCUGUAGUUCCCCAUCCCUGCUUUAAAACAAGCCGAGAGGGAGGGGCUCAUAUUGCUGAGUUAACUCAAAUUAAACCAUCAGCUGUUUUUGCAGAACCUGGUGAAGAACCGUGAUUUAGUCAAUCAGUCCCAUUUUCUGGCGUUGUACCAGGGGUGAAAUCCAGCAGGUUCUGACAGGUUCUGGAGAACCGGUAGUGGAAAUUUUGAGCACUUCCGAGAACUGGCAAAUACCACCUCUGGCUGUCCACAGAGUGGGGUGGGAAUGGAGAUUUUGCAGUAUCCUUCCCCUGCCAGGCCCACCAAACCACGCCCACAGAACUGGUAGUAAAAAAAAAUUGGAUUUCACCACUGGACUGACACUAUCAGAAAGGUCUAAGAGUAUAGUAUACUACACACUAUAGUAGCUGUGAUAGGCAGUAGAAGUUGACGGAAAAUAAAAUACUACAGAUGAAAGGUUCUGGUGACUCUUUAUCGGGAUUGACUGUGUUCAAUGAUGGAUCUAGCCCAAUAACUCACAGACAAAUUCUUUUUCUCAAGGGGAUUCCUUUAUUGCAGGCCUAGAUGAAUCCUAGGCCCUAUGGCACCAGAGGUCACUGACCUUAGACCUUUCUCUUUCAGGUAUACAUCUGGAACAACUGGAGUACCUCGUGGUGAGAGCUAUUAUACCCAGGAGGAGGGGCCAGGAGGUUCGGUAUCCUAAUUGGAACUCCUACCUCACUGUUUUGGGAAUCCUGAAGCAUGACAAGGACAUGACUGUUGAUUGAACACUCUGGUCCUCUCGCAACUUGAUCUGCCGCUUUCAGAAAGUAGAGAUGCAUCUGGCAACAGGGUAGAAGGCAACUUCCAUCAUGCCUCCCAGCAGAUGUACUAGAAACCACAAACAAGUCAAUUCCUGCACAUUCCCCCUUUCCUCAAUAUGAUAUAUCCUACACAGGGACUUACCUCUCCAGAUGUCACUGAGCUGCUGCUCAUAGCGUCCCUCAUCCUUGGUUAGGAUGGCUGAAUUGGCUGUGUUGCAAUUAAGCAACGUCUGGAAAACUACCAGCUCCCUAUCUAUGCAUACAACCUGCUAGUUAUUGCAGGGAUUAUAUAUUCACAUAGGUACUAUUAAUGCAAACAAAUCCUAUGCAGGUCAUCCUUACGACCGCUGUUGGGAUCAGAAGUUAUGUGGCUAAACAAGGUAUUAAAGCAUAGGGCCUAGCUAUCUUCGAGACCGCCUGCUGCUACCGACGACCUCCCAUCGACCCGUGCGCUCCCACAGAGAGGGCCUCCUCGGGGUGCCAUCAGCCAAACAAUGUAGGCUGGUGAUCCCCAGGGGGAGGGCCUUCUCUGUGGGGGCACCUACCCUCUGGAAUCAGUUGCCCCCAGAGAUAAGGAGAAUCCAUGACCUUAGUGCCUUCCGCCGUGCCCUUAAAACUCACUUUUUUCAGCAAGCCGGGCUGGCUUAAGAAUAAAUUUUUAAAUGUUUUUAAUUGGUUUGUGAUUUUUAAUUUUUGGGCCAAAUUUAUACAUAUUUUAACUGUUUUUUAAUAUUUGUAUUUUAUGUUCU
Long non-coding RNA from Pantherophis guttatus, 1568 nucleotides. RefSeq lists it as uncharacterized. The record is from RefSeq and is a predicted model, not a curated record. Lineage: Eukaryota; Metazoa; Chordata; Lepidosauria; Squamata; Colubridae.